AAGACUUUAAGUUAAAAAAAACUUUUAUCCUUCAAAGCUAAAAAUAAAGAUGCAUCUUUAAGUCUUA
RNAcentral lists this transfer RNA (67 nucleotides) under Panesthia sp. Salganea. Its description in RNAcentral is "tRNA-Trp". RNAcentral also lists the same sequence under 1 other name. The record is from RNAcentral. Lineage: Eukaryota; Metazoa; Arthropoda; Insecta; Blattodea; Blaberidae.